AGAGUUUUGUGGAUCAAGGUGUAAUAUCAGAGCUGAUUAUUGCAUUUUCAAGGGAAGGACCCCAGAAAGAGUAUGUUCAACAUAAAAUGCUGGAAAAGGUAAGUGUGCUGAUAAAAUAAGACUUGAGCGCUGUUGUAAAAAGCUAAGUGAUUCUAAUGCAACUUAUGACGUAUGAGCAGGCGUCCCAUGUUUGGAGUUUAAUCUCCCAGGAGGGAUAUCUAUAUGUAUGUGGGGAUGCGAAAGGGAUGGCCAGGGAUGUACAUCGUACACUCCAUACCAUAGUCCAGGAGCAGGUAUAUGGCUUUAUUCAUCUGCUGGACCUGAAUACAUCAUUUGCUGUAAAAUCCAGCUAUUUUAUCAGUCUGUUAAAUGGUGGAUGAUUUGAUAUCUGAUUGUCCUGAUAGGCAGGAACUUAUGUUCUUAUUGCUUUUGCGGUAUCUUAUUUCGUUAGUUUGUUUAAAUCAAAUCCAGGAUAAGGUCGACUCAACCAAUGCUGAGGCUAUUGUGAUCUGUAAAUCCAGCAAUUUUAUCUGUCUGUUAAAUGGUGGAUGAUUUGAUAUCUGAUUGUCCUGAUAGGCGAGAACUUAUGUUCUUAUUACUUUUGCUGUAUCUUAUUUGGUAUUUUGUUUAAAUCAAAUCCAGGAUAAGGUCGACUCAACCAAAGCUGAGGCUAUUGUGAAGAAACUCCAAAUGGAUGGAAGAUAUCUCAGGGAUGUGUGGUGAUCAUAUUAAGGUCAGCACGUUUGGUCCCGUUUGUUUACUUUUAGCGAAGCUUGGCAAGGUCCUCCUCUCAGUUGCUUUGAGUUCCAGCAGCUAAAACGAUUAUUUCAGUCAGUAGCCAAGGUCUGGAUUCUCUACAGCAUCUAAGUUUUGUCUACUAAAUUGGUUAUUACUCUUUCGUUGGAGCAGAUUUAAAUAUCUUUAAAGUUCUGAUUAAUUUUUUAUAAGAGAUUCAGGACUGAUACAAAAAUUGUUAUAUGUAGUUAGUUAAAACGAUCCCAAAUCAUGUUGUAAUAUGUGCGGAAGACUUUUGUAAAAAUAACUGUAUAAAUGAAGGGCGGGUAGAAUAAAUGUGUUG
RNAcentral lists this long non-coding RNA (1078 nucleotides) under Nicotiana benthamiana. RNAcentral describes it as "long non-coding RNA (NBEN_LNC009424)". The record is from RNAcentral. Lineage: Eukaryota; Viridiplantae; Streptophyta; Magnoliopsida; Solanales; Solanaceae.